Molecule: long non-coding RNA, 3110 nt
Filed under: Medicago truncatula (barrel medic)
Lineage: Eukaryota; Viridiplantae; Streptophyta; Magnoliopsida; Fabales; Fabaceae
Description: long non-coding RNA (MTRU_LNC008508)
Source: RNAcentral
GGAGAUAGGUUUGGGGACAUUUUAUUUUAUCCCCCCCCCCCCCCCCUCCCUCCCUCCCUCCCUGUCGUGUGUCUUGUCUCUGUUUUUUCUUUUCUUUCUUGCUUCUCUGUUCUGUUACAUUCCUUUACUCUACUAUUAUGAAGGAUUCUUAUAAACAAAACCUAAUUCGACAAGCAAUCGACAGCACAUUGAAGUACAUAAUGCGAUAAGAAGGUACAUGGUUGUGUUGUUAUGAUAUUAUUACCAGAUUUAUUCUCUAUCCUGAAUUCAUGACAUUAUUUGUGGUUUCUGACUAAAAUUGAAGGCCAUGGCUGCAAUUAAACUCUACGAUACGUUUAAUCGAUUUACUUUAGACGGUCACCUCACGAGCAAUAUUUUCAUCAUUGAGUUAUUUUAUUAUUUUUAUAUCAAAUAAUUUUUUUACAGUGAAAGAAUACAAUUAUAUGUUGAAUUCUAGAAUACAUUAAGGGUAUGUUUGAAUUCAAUCAAGUAUAGUUUUGCAAAUUUUUCUACUUUAAUAGUGUGUGAUUGAUUUUGUUGUGGUACACAUUCUACAAUUAGACUCUGAUGAGAGGAGAUACUGUCAAUUCCAUACUCUAUGUUUACACUAAAAUUUUAAUUGAGUUUAAAUGCAAACAUCCUAAUACAAUAGCAAAUGUAACUUGAUAUCUGGUUUUUUUUUUUUGAGAGAAAGAACUUGAUAUCUGGUUUAUAUUGUAUUGUUUUUUAUUCAGUGUUUUGAACCUGAAUUAUACCAAAUGAGAAAAUAUUAACCAGAAAGUUUCCUUAAGCACUAUUGAGAUUCUCGUGUCUGUUAAUGUGUGGAAUUAUCAACCAUUUCAAGUUAUGCACUCUUUGCUUGUGCGACCUGGAACACAUCUUGUAAAAGUGAAAUUUGAAGACUUGAUUGCUGCUAGAGGAUCAAGAUUUUGUAAAGCAGGGAAGGUCAUUUGAUGCUUUUGUUGGAAGCCUUGGAGGUAUAUGUUUUUAUCCCGAAUGACAGUUGCAGCUGGUUCAUGGCAUUCGAUGAAGUAUAUAUACAGAAUUUGUUGGAGGUAUGUUUUUUUAUUCCUUGUGAGCAUGUGAGCGUAUACUACAUCAACACAAGGUACUUGUUCUGUUUCUGUGUUAGUUAAGGGAUCUUUGCCAUGUCAGGUGCGCUUGCAUGCCAGGUCUGAAAUAUCUUAAUAAAAUUAUAGUUAUUUUGUUUUGAGAGGUGAGGGAGAGAUAGGUUUGGAGACAUUUUCUUCUAUUUCUUUGCCUGGCCUCUCCCCCUCUCUGCUGUGUGUCUUGCCUCUUCUGUCUCUCCUAGCCUCUCUUUUUCUAUUAUGUUGCUUUCCUUUACUAUUAUGCGCCACACAUACUAAUAACAAGAUUCUAAUUAACAAAACAUAAUCGGCAACACAUUGAGGUACACAGUGCGAUGACAAGGUGCAUGGUUAUGUUGUUAACCUGAAUUUGUGGCAUUACUUGUGGUGUAUUGAUUAAAAUUGAAGGCUAUGAAUUGAAGGCUAUUUCUGUAAUUGAACUCUACGAUAUGUUCAUUCUAUUCACUUAAGACAGUCACGAGCAAUAUUUACAUCAAUAUUUUAUUAUUUAUAUCCGUUACCAUUUUUUCGCGAUUUUUAGAAAUAAACUUGUGGUUAAAUGAUACAUUUAGGAUAUAUUUUGUGAUUUCUAGAAAUAAAUUUUCACAGUUAAAUGACACAUAGGAUAUGUUUGAAAUCAAUCAAAUUUCUGUUUGCAACUGUAGGAGCCUGCACUUGAUUUUGUAGUGUUACACAUGUUACAAUUAGACUCAGAUGAGCACAAGAUUACCGUCGAUUCGGUAUUGUGUUUAUAAGUGUUAAACAUAUUAAUACCCGGUGUCUGUUAAAUAGUGGUGCUAUAGCACUGUUGUAUAGCGGAGUUAGAUUAGACUGCUAUAGUGCUAUUUUCUGUGAUUUGUGAUUGCCAACAAUGCUUGUACCUUUUCAUUCCGCUCAAAGCAUUAAAUCUUUAUAAUAACAGACUUGAUUUGGUAUUGGAUCAUCCAAAUUAUCUGACAGUUAACUUCUUUUGUGAAGACAAUAGAUAAAAAUGCAGAUGCUAGUUGACAUGAAAUGUGUUUGAUAUCACUUGGUUGUAAAUCGGAUAUUCCAUGUUUAUAAUUUAGAAGCUGCGGCAUAUCUCAGAGUAGCAGGAAUUGAGGCAUACACCCUAACUCACUACUCUUCAUCACAUGACAAAGUGAAUUUAUUUAUUCAUUGAGGAUGAAGAAAAGGGAAUGAAAGAAAGAAGAGAAUGAAGAUGUGUUCUAUAAUAUAAUUAUUGACAGGUAGACAAUUCACUCAACAAAAUCAAUGGAGAAGCACAAUUUCUUGUUAGAAGUACCGAUGAACUCCUAUUUAUUGUACUGAGAGACAGAGUAUUUUUUAGGGGAUAAAAUGGAAUUUCAUGAUUUUAUUCCUCAGACAAAAAAUGUUUUAAUAAACUUCAGUUUAUGAUAUAAUUUUCAAAAAAGAAUGAUCUGUAAAUUUAGGCCCGUGAUUUACAAUUAAUUUUAAUAAGAUAUUUUUAUUGUAGGAAUAUUGAAAACAGAGUGAUGUGUAAGGUAGCUUUCUUUUUCUUGAGAGUCUGUCAGUCGCACAUGAUAAUUUGUUUGGAUGAACAGGCCAUUUUAUAACAUACAAAUAAACCGGCUUUUUCAACUAUAAUGAAUUUGUUAUUAGAUGUGUCUGAACCCUAUGAUGGAUCCAUAUGCUCGUAUUGGAAUGAGCCCCCAAACUGCUUUGUAUGGGAGAUUGGUGGUUCGACUCCACCUGGAUCCGACUUUUGUCAAUCAUGUUUAUGCAUAGCAAUUAGCACUCAUCUUCAUAUGUCCGCUAAAUCAAGUUGUGGCGGCAUGUAUGAAAGGCCUUGAUAGUGUUAAGAGGUGUACAAUUGAAGAGAGUUUAAGAGUAAGUUAGCAGGUUACUUUCACUCUCUAAGGCAAAUAUUGUGAAAUAAUUUAUAAAUGAUAUUUUUUUUAUUUAAUCAUUUAGAAAUAAUACUGAUGUCAAGCUUGUUAAAUACUUGGCAUAAAUAUCAUGCAUGCAAGUGAUUAGUUAGUUGGUAAGAAAUCUUAAGUA